AAUCAUGACCUGAGCCGAAGGCAGAGGCCUUAACUCACUGAGCUACCCAGGAAGAUUUCGACGUCGAUCACUUUGGGUCUGACUGUAGGAAGCGUGUCCAGCUGGAGGAACUAAGAGGAGAUCUGGAACUCUACUAUAAACUUCUUAAAAUAGCCAUGGUCGAGCUCAUCAACAAGGAUUAUGCAGAUUUUGUCAACCUUUCCACAAACUUGGUUGGCAUGGACAAAGCCCUCAAUCAACUUUCUGUGCCUUUGGGACAGUUACGAGAAGUUCUGAGUCUCAGGUCAUCUGUCAGUGAAGGAAUUCGGGCAGUAGAUGAACGAAUGUGUAAACAUGAGGACAUAAGGAAGAAAAAGAUGUGUGUGUUGAGGCUUAUACAAGUUAUUUGAUCAGUUGAAAAGAUUGAAAAAAUCUUAAAUUCACAAAGUUCUAAAGAAACCUCUGCACUAGAAGCAAGCAGCCCGUUGCACUCGUGCUUCUGCCCCAUUCGUCCACACUUAGCAGACAGUCUGUACGCGGCCCUUCUGCAGCCCGUGUGUCUCCAGCGGCUCUGCUUCGCUGCGGCCCUUGGCAGCGCCUGCAGCCCCUCCAGCCAUGUCCACGUUCGGCCCCUGGGGAGCUGGCCCUCCAGUGUUCUUCCCGUCUUUGCUGUUGCUGCUGUGCUCCUCGGAUAGAAACACCUCAGUGAGCUCUGUGUCUACAAUCCUGUCCCUUUGCAACACUGUCCUUGAUAAACAGACAUUGUGCGCUUUCUUGCUCAGAAUUACCUUGGAGGACUUUUUUCUCCAGAAGAGCAGCUCUGAGCUCUAGAGUCAGGAAAGCCAGAGCAGCGUCAGCGCACGGUAAAUCCAUCAUGCUCUGCCAGGCCCAGAAAUGCCGAGAUAAGGAUAAAUAGGAAAUGCGCAUGGGAUCAGUCAGUAGAGGUUGGGAUUAGGCUUCGGCGCUGUUCAUGCCAAGCGCUUGCCUUCCCUCCACACCAGUUCUGAUGCUCUGGGACGGGGCACACCGUGGCAGGUCUCCAGAGAUUUUGGGUUUCCUUACAGUGUGUUUCCUCACUACCUGACUGCCCAUCCUCAGAUGUGGGAUGCCUCAUAGAGCCCAGCAGGGGCUUUGGGGCCUUUGUUGUGUUUUUUUUUUUUUCUUUCAGUGUUCGGCUUCCUUUUGAAUGGGGUUGACGCUUUCUAAUGUGGGGGGCAAGAGGGAAGUGUAUCCAGUCCACUUGAUGGCAGAUGCACUGUGAGUGAUUUCUCACCAGCUCCCGGAGCACCGAGCUUGCUCUUUCUGCCGUUGGGUAAAUGUAAACUUGGAGUCCGCUGCUCUGAGCAAUUUCCCAGGUUGCUGCUAGGCGGUCAGUUUUAGCUGAUUGAGGAGACAGCAGUAGUUGGUACUGGGGAGGUACUUGGGAGGGAGAACGAGGCAGGCGGAGAAGAAGAGGGGGAUUCGGGUAUGAACGGUAGGACAGGGCAAGAGAGAGGAGGGGGUUAGAGAAUGGGAGAAGAAGGGAGAAGAAGGGCACGAAUGGGAGAGCCCGAGGAACGUGGUGGAAACAUGCAGUUGUACCCACACUGACCUAAAAUAGCUCCAUCCCCUUGCCUGGGCCCUGUGGCCCGGGCCAGGCUGCGUCGGUGGCUUCUACGACCUCCCCGCUCCUCACCCCUCGCACCUGGGGCCUGCUGCACAGACAGUUUGUCCUGAAAAUUGAUGGCGUGCAGGUGCAGGUGCCUGAGCGCUGUGAGGCAUGGGGGGCGGUGGGGGUGGCAGGUUUUAACUUUGGGAAUUACACUUCUCUAAUUGUCUCUACUAGCCCUCUCUGGACUAGACAGAUUUUGGAGAGAAUUGCCACAGAAUUUAACCAGUUACAGUUUCAUGCUGUUCAGAGCAAAGGCAUGCCUCUUCUGGACAAAGUAAGACCACGUAUAGCCCACAUUACGGCCAUGCUGCAGCAGUCCCUGGGAGGCCUGCUGCUAGAAGGGCUUCAGACUUCCAAUGUGGACAUCAUACGGCACUGCCUCCAGACUUACGCUACAAUUGACAAGACACGGGAUGCAGAGGCGUUAGUUGGUCAAGUACUGGUGAAACCGUACAUGGAUGAGGUUUGUGCCCCCAUGCACCUCAUUCCACAAACACAGAGCAUCUAAUCUGGCUUCGUUUCUUGACUGGGUGCGAGAGAGCUCAGGGCUCUUCCUUGAAGAUGCUCUUAGUUCCUGCUCUUCUGGUUGUAAGAAAAGGUUGGUCCCGCUUGGUGCCCAUCAGCAUGGCAGGAAUCAGGCAUGCGCUCUGGUCUCUUCCAGUGAUGCCAUAACUCAGGGAUCAUCUUAAUUUAGUAGGGGUGAGGGACUUGCCUAGGAAGAAGGUACGGAUCAGAACAUUUUCAGGUCAAUUUCGAUUUCCAUAAGUUAUACGUUAAUGAAGUUGCCGAAAAGCGUGACCCCACCAAGGCGCCCGUGCCCACUGGAGGAGCUGGAAGACAGCUCUGUGCGCAGGGAAAGUCUGUGAGGGGAGGCGUCUUCGCAGAAUUGAUGUGGCCUAAGUCUUGAAGACCAUGGGGGAGUUUGCCAGGCUAGGAAGGUGGGAGGGAGGGAAUAUUCAAAGAUAAAGGGCUUUUAAGGGCGAGUUAGCGGGGUAGUACCUUAAGUCCGGAACUUGGUUACCCAGUGUUCUUGACCUAUAAGGAUACAGUUAAAUACAGGGAGUCAGUGUAUCCUGCCUCUGAGCGGCCGGAGUAUGGGCUGCACCAUGUGAGGCCGCCAGCAAUCAGCAGCUUCCAACUUAGAGAGCGUCGGUUUCAUCUAGUUCAGGCUGACAGAAGUCAUGAAGCCAGUCUCAGCGUUUGAGGGCUUUCUUCCAGUCACCUGCCAGUGCGAGUGUUCUUUCUGUCCGGUAAGUAUAAAGCUACCCACCAUGACUUCAGGAUGAAAGGCUUCCAGUUUUAAAACGAGACAGUAUCCCAGUGAUAGAAGUGAAAUUGAAGGAUUAAUUUCAGUAAUCUUCUCAGCUUCAUUAAGACUACUAAAAGUAAAUGAUCUGUCAGUUCUUUGUAUGUAUCCUAUUAUAGUUCAUAGCUCUCUCUGUGGGGGUGAAAAAGAUCACAUUAUUCUUUGUCACUAAAUGAAAAUAUUUUAGUUAUUUAA
Mustela erminea (ermine) is the source of this 3131-nucleotide RNA transcript. It is a transcript of the gene named conserved oligomeric Golgi complex subunit 2-like, with no coding region annotated. The record is from RefSeq and is a predicted model, not a curated record. NCBI's taxonomy places the organism in Eukaryota, Metazoa, Chordata, Mammalia, Carnivora, Mustelidae. The transcript has 7 exons.